RNAcentral lists this ribosomal RNA (378 nucleotides) under Triticum aestivum (bread wheat). RNAcentral's name for it is "partial small subunit ribosomal RNA". Lineage: Eukaryota; Viridiplantae; Streptophyta; Magnoliopsida; Poales; Poaceae. The record is from RNAcentral.
AUGAUAGUGCUCAAAUUGGAUUUCCAGAAAGCGUUUGACAGUGUCAGCUGGGAUGCUUUGAAGCUCAUCCUCGCAGCCAGAGGCUUUGGGAGCAGAUGGGUCAGAUGGAUACAUGAUAUCCUAUCAACUAGCUCAUCCAGGAUAAUAAUCAAUGGAACUCUUGGGGAGAGGAUCUUAUCAAGAAGUGGUUUAAGGCAGGGGGAUGCUCUAUCUCCUUACCUCUUCAUUCUGGCCGUCGAUGUCUUGCAACAGCCUUGCAAAAGGGAACACCAAGCGGGGAACCUUAUGCACCCACUUGUAGGCGAUGGCCCUUUUCCAAUCCUGCAGUACGCGGACGACACGUUGAUCUUCAUGCAAGGGGACAUCCAGCAAGCAUGA